Molecule: long non-coding RNA, 484 nt
Organism: Piliocolobus tephrosceles (Ugandan red Colobus)
Lineage: Eukaryota; Metazoa; Chordata; Mammalia; Primates; Cercopithecidae
Source: Ensembl
GGUGGCAGCUGAGAGGGGUGCAGGGGACGCCUGGCCCCUCACGCUGAGCCUGCUGUCCUCGGGACAGGCUCUGCAGAGCCCAAGACACCAUCUAUGGAAUGGUUGAUAGCCACCAACAUGCCUUGGGCCCCGUCUCACUGCUAGCAUCACCACACAUGCUUCUCCGACGCACCUCCCUCCCAGCUCUUCGAGAGGCCAGCAGAAGGAGACACGGUGCCCCAGUGACGUGCAGAAGUACAGGGUCCCCCAGGCCGGUAGGAGAGGGAACGGGGCCGACUGCGUUCAGGGCAGCCCCAGCUGACGCCUCUCCUGUCCAGGCACCCGCUUGGGAUCUUUCCUUACAUUAGAGGAUCAGAAAUAGAAGUCCAGGAUUGAAGGAACGUUUUCAGGUUGCAGAUUCACGUUGACAACAUCCUCUAAAAGUCUACCUGCAUUUACGCUCCACUGAGGAUGACCAGUUAAAUAAAAUUUCUCCAGUUCAGCA